UUGUAAAGGGUGUAUGGCUCUUUAAACGACCUCUUCGGUUUCGUGUCCUGUAUGUUCAAUGUCAUACAAGCCUUACCAAUCCUUCGCAUCGUAGUAGCUCUGAAAAUGGGUACAUCUGCCUUCGCCUCAAUUAGAUUGAUAAACCUGGGCCAGUCGGGAAACACUUCCGUCUCUAGCCCCGCCCCGGCCCGAAUCUACCAGGGGUUCCCUUUCCAUCCCCGCCCACUUUUGCAGACGAAUCACAUCUAAUUGGAUAUGUGUUUUGAGGACACGCCCACAGCACUCCUUUUCAAUGAAUGGCAAAUAUAUUGAGACGUUGCCUUUCCAAAUAUGGAUGCCUUCGGAUACACGCAAGGGGUGUAAUAAAGCAAUAUAAAGUCACGGA
This is a long non-coding RNA of Gadus macrocephalus (Pacific cod), 385 nucleotides long. RefSeq lists it as uncharacterized. The record is from RefSeq and is a predicted model, not a curated record. Lineage: Eukaryota; Metazoa; Chordata; Actinopteri; Gadiformes; Gadidae. The transcript is spliced from 2 exons.